GGGUGAGUAACACGUGGGUAACCUGCCCAUCAGAAGGGGAUAACACUUGGAAACAGGUGCUAAUACCGUAUAACAAUCGAAACCGCAUGGUUUUGAUUUGAAAGGCGCUUUCGGGUGUCGCUGAUGGAUGGACCCGCGGUGCAUUAGCUAGUUGGUGAGGUAACGGCUCACCAAGGCCACGAUGCAUAGCCGACCUGAGAGGGUGAUCGGCCACAUUGGGACUGAGACACGGCCCAAACUCCUACGGGAGGCAGCAGUAGGGAAUCUUCGGCAAUGGACGAAAGUCUGACCGAGCAACGCCGCGUGAGUGAAGAAGGUUUUCGGAUCGUAAAACUCUGUUGUUAGAGAAGAACAAGGAUGAGAGUAACUGUUCAUCCCUUGACGGUAUCUAACCAGAAAGCCACGGCUAACUACGUGCCAGCAGCCGCGGUAAUACGUAGGUGGCAAGCGUUGUCCGGAUUUAUUGGGCGUAAAGCGAGCGCAGGCGGUUUCUUAAGUCUGAUGUGAAAGCCCCCGGCUCAACCGGGGAGGGUCAUUGGAAACUGGGAGACUUGAGUGCAGAAGAGGAGAGUGGAAUUCCAUGUGUAGCGGUGAAAUGCGUAGAUAUAUGGAGGAACACCAGUGGCGAAGGCGGCUCUCUGGUCUGUAACUGACGCUGAGGCUCGAAAGCGUGGGGAGCAAACAGGAUUAGAUACCCUGGUAGUCCACGCCGUAAACGAUGAGUGCUAAGUGUUGGAGGGUUUCCGCCCUUCAGUGCUGCAGCUAACGCAUUAAGCACUCCGCCUGGGGAGUACGACCGCAAGGUUGAAACUCAAAGGAAUUGACGGGGGCCCGCACAAGCGGUGGAGCAUGUGGUUUAAUUCGAAGCAACGCGAAGAACCUUACCAGGUCUUGACAUCCUUUGACCACUCUAGAGAUAGAGCUUCCCCUUCGGGGGCAAAGUGACAGGUGGUGCAUGGUUGUCGUCAGCUCGUGUCGUGAGAUGUUGGGUUAAGUCCCGCAACGAGCGCAACCCUUAUUGUUAGUUGCCAUCAUUUAGUUGGGCACUCUAGCAAGACUGCCGGUGACAAACCGGAGGAAGGUGGGGAUGACGUCAAAUCAUCAUGCCCCUUAUGACCUGGGCUACACACGUGCUACAAUGGGAAGUACAACGAGUCGCGAAGUCGCGAGGCUAAGCUAAUCUCUUAAAGCUUCUCUCAGUUCGGAUUGUAGGCUGCAACUCGCCUACAUGAAGCCGGAAUCGCUAGUAAUCGCGGAUCAGCACGCCGCGGUGAAUACGUUCCCGGGCCUUGUACACACCGACCGUCACACCACGAGAGUUUGUAACACCCGAAGUCGGUGAGGUAACCUU
This 1351-nucleotide ribosomal RNA is filed under the name Enterococcus durans. RNAcentral describes it as "bacterial SSU rRNA". It matches the Rfam family "Bacterial small subunit ribosomal RNA", at positions 104 to 1442 of the family's 1533-position model. The record is from RNAcentral. Lineage: Bacteria; Bacillati; Bacillota; Bacilli; Lactobacillales; Enterococcaceae.